UACGUAGGUGGCAAGCGUUGUCCGGAUUUAUUGGGCGUAAAGGGAACGCAGGCGGUCUUUUAAGUCUGAUGUGAAAGCCUUCGGCUUAACCGGAGUAGUGCAUUGGAAACUGGGAGACUUGAGUGCAGAAGAGGAGAGUGGAACUCCAUGUGUAGCGGUGAAAUGCCUAGAUAUAUGGAAGAACACCAGUGGCGAAAGCGGCUCUCUGGUCUGUAACUGACGCUGAGGUUCGAAAGCGUGGGUAGCAAACAGG
RNAcentral lists this ribosomal RNA (253 nucleotides) under uncultured bacterium. RNAcentral describes it as "partial 16S ribosomal RNA". It matches the Rfam family "Bacterial small subunit ribosomal RNA", at positions 524 to 776 of the family's 1533-position model. The record is from RNAcentral.